UGCUUAACACAUGCAAGUCGAACGGCAUCACGAUACGUAGCAAUACGUAUUGGUGGAGAGUGGCGGACGGGUGAGUAACGCGUAGGAAUCUGCCUUGAAGCGGGGGAUAACCCGAGGAAACUCGGGCUAAUACCGCAUAUACUCGGAAGAGGAAAGCUAGGCAGCGAUACCCGGCACUUCAAGAGGAGCCUGCGUCUGAUUAGCUAGUUGGUAGGGUAAAGGCCUACCAAGGCGAUGAUCGGUAGCUGGUCUGAGAGGAUGACCAGCCACACUGGGACUGAGACACGGCCCAGACUCCUACGGGAGGCAGCAGUGGGGAAUAUUGGACAAUGGGGGCAACCCUGAACCUUCUAACCGCGUGUGUGAAGACGGCCUUCGGGUUGUAAAGCUC
This 391-nucleotide ribosomal RNA is filed under the name uncultured organism. RNAcentral describes it as "bacterial SSU rRNA". It matches the Rfam family "Bacterial small subunit ribosomal RNA", at positions 45 to 433 of the family's 1533-position model. The record is from RNAcentral.